Molecule: non-coding RNA, 81 nt
Organism: Schistocephalus solidus
Lineage: Eukaryota; Metazoa; Platyhelminthes; Cestoda; Diphyllobothriidea; Diphyllobothriidae
Source: Rfam
GGCCUCGUAGCUCAGUUGGUUAGAGCAUUGGCUGUAUUAAAGCCUUCCCCGCUGGCGUGGAUUCGAACCCCACUGAGACCG